RNAcentral lists this ribosomal RNA (468 nucleotides) under uncultured bacterium. RNAcentral describes it as "partial 16S ribosomal RNA". It matches the Rfam family "Bacterial small subunit ribosomal RNA", at positions 28 to 507 of the family's 1533-position model. The record is from RNAcentral.
GACGAACGCUGGCGGCGUGCUUAACACAUGCAAGUCGAACGGAAAGGCCCUGCUUUUGUGGGGUGCUCGAGUGGCGAACGGGUGAGUAACACGUGAGUAACCUGCCCUUGACUUUGGGAUAACUUCAGGAAACUGGGGCUAAUACCGGAUAGGAGCUCCUGCUGCAUGGUGGGGGUUGGAAAGUUUCGGCGGUUGGGGAUGGACUCGCGGCUUAUCAGCUUGUUGGUGGGGUAGUGGCUUACCAAGGCUUUGACGGGUAGCCGGCCUGAGAGGGUGACCGGCCACAUGGGGACUGAGAUACGGCCCAGACUCGCACGGGAGGCAGCAGUGGGGAAUAUUGCACAAUGGGCGGAAGCCUGAUGCAGCAACGCCGCGUGCGGGAUGACGGCCUUCGGGUUGUAAACCGCUGUCGCCUGUGACGAAGCGUGAGUGACGGUAAUGGGUAAAGAAGCACCGGCUAACUACGUG